Molecule: ribosomal RNA, 421 nt
Filed under: uncultured bacterium
Lineage: Bacteria
Description: bacterial SSU rRNA
Rfam family: Bacterial small subunit ribosomal RNA
Source: RNAcentral
GAGGAAUAUUGGACAAUGGAUGGAAAUCUGAUCCAGCCAUGCCGCGUGCAGGAAGACGGCCCUAUGGGUUGUAAACUGCUUUUGUAUGGGAGCAAUAAGGACUACGUGUAGUUUGAUGAGAGUACCAUACGAAUAAGCAUCGGCUAACUCCGUGCCAGCAGCCGCGGUAAUACGGAGGAUGCGAGCGUUAUCCGGAUUUAUUGGGUUUAAAGGGUGCGCAGGCGGGAUGUUAAGUCGGCGGUGAAAUUUUGCAGCUCAACUGUAAAAGUGCCUUCGAUACUGGCCUCCUUGAGUGUGGAUGAAGUAGGCGGAAUUUGUGGUGUAGCGGUGAAAUGCUUAGAUAUCACGAGGAACUCCGAUUGCGCAGGCAGCUUACUAAGCCACAACUGACGCUCAUGCACGAAGGCGUGGGGAUCAAACA